RNAcentral lists this ribosomal RNA (160 nucleotides) under uncultured bacterium. RNAcentral describes it as "partial 16S ribosomal RNA". It matches the Rfam family "Bacterial small subunit ribosomal RNA", at positions 355 to 507 of the family's 1533-position model. RNAcentral also lists the same sequence under 2 other names. The record is from RNAcentral.
UGGGGAAUAUUGGACAAUGGGCGAAAGCCUGAUCCAGCCAUGCCGCGUGUGUGAAGAAGGUCUUCGGAUUGUAAAGCACUUUAAGUUGGGAGGAAGGGCAGUAAGUUAAUACCUUGCUGUUUUGACGUUACCAACAGAAUAAGCACCGGCUAACUUCGUG